This 366-nucleotide ribosomal RNA is filed under the name uncultured bacterium. Its description in RNAcentral is "bacterial SSU rRNA". It matches the Rfam family "Bacterial small subunit ribosomal RNA", at positions 127 to 507 of the family's 1533-position model. The record is from RNAcentral.
UGCCUUGGCAUGGGGAUAACGUUGGAAACGACGCUAAUACCGCAUAUCGCAUAGGGACCGCAUGAUUCUUAUGCAAAAGAUUUAUUGUGCUAAGAUGGGCUCGCGUCCCAUUAGAUAGUUGGUGAGAUAACAGCCCACCAAGGCGACGAUCGGUAGCCGACCUGAGAGAGUGAACGGCCACAUUGGGACUGAGACACGGCCCCAAAACUCCUACGGGGAGGCAGCAGUGGGGGAAUAUUGCACAAUGGGGGAAACCCCUGAUGCAGCGACGCCGACGUGAGUGAAGAAGUAUUUCGGUAUGUAAAGCUCUAUCAGCAGGGAAGAAAAUUGACGGUACCUGACUAAGAAGCCCCGGCUAACUACGUG